GACGAACGCUGGCGGCGUGCCUAACACAUGCAAGUCGAGCGCUGAAGCUCGGUACUUGUACCGACUUGAUGAGCCGCGCACGGGAGAGUAACGUGUGUGGAAUCUGCCUUUGAGCGGGGGACCACCUUUGGAAACGAAUGCUAAUACCGCAUAAAAUCUUUCAACACAAGUUUUAAGUUUGAAAGAUGCCAUUUCAUCACUCACACAUGAUUCCUCGUCGUAUUAGCUAGUUGGUGAGGUACCAGCUCACCGAGGCGAAGCUACCUAGCCGACCUGAGAGGGUGAGCAGCCAGAUUGGGACGGAGACACGCCCCAAACGCCCACGGGAGGCAGCAGGAGGGAAACUUCAGGAAUCGACGAAAGACUGACCGAGCAACGCCGAGGGAGGGAAGAAGGUUGUCGGGUCGUAAAACUCUGCUGGUAGGGAAGAACGUUGGUGAGAGUGGAAAGCUCAUCAAGUGACGGUAACUACUCAGAAAGGGACGGCUAACUACGUG
Molecule: ribosomal RNA, 497 nt
Filed under: uncultured bacterium
Lineage: Bacteria
Description: partial 16S ribosomal RNA
Rfam family: Bacterial small subunit ribosomal RNA
Source: RNAcentral